GCGGGAGUAACUCAGUUGGUAGAGUAUAACCUUGCCAUGGUUAAAGUCGCGAGUUCGAAUCUCGUCUCCCGCU
RNAcentral lists this transfer RNA (73 nucleotides) under endosymbiont of Euscepes postfasciatus. It matches the Rfam family "tRNA". From Rfam's summary of the family: Transfer RNA (tRNA) molecules are approximately 80 nucleotides in length. Their secondary structure includes four short double-helical elements and three loops (D, anti-codon, and T loops). The record is from Rfam by way of RNAcentral. Lineage: Bacteria; Pseudomonadati; Pseudomonadota; Gammaproteobacteria.